RNAcentral lists this ribosomal RNA (345 nucleotides) under Ortalotrypeta sp. 18-01-12-10-D. Its description in RNAcentral is "partial 16S ribosomal RNA". Lineage: Eukaryota; Metazoa; Arthropoda; Insecta; Diptera; Tephritidae. The record is from RNAcentral.
GGCCGCAGUAUCCUAACUGUGCAAAGGUAGCAUAAUCAUUAGUCUUUUAAUUGAAGGCUGGAAUGAAUGGUUGGACGAGGAAUAUACUGUUUCAUUUAAAUUUAUUAUAGAAUUUUAUUUUUUAGUUAAAAAGCUAAAAUAUUAUUAAAAGACGAGAAGACCCUAUAAAUCUUUAUAUUUAUUUAUUUUUAAAUUUUUUUGAUUUAUUUUGUUUUUAAAUAAAUAAAUAUUUUGUUGGGGUGAUGUUAAAAUUUAAUAAACUUUUAAUUAAAAAAAUCAUUUAUUUAUGAUUUGUUGAUCUUUUAAUAAUGAUUAUAAGAUUAAGUUACUUUAGGGAUAACAGCG